This is a long non-coding RNA of Nomascus leucogenys (northern white-cheeked gibbon), 626 nucleotides long. RefSeq lists it as uncharacterized. Lineage: Eukaryota; Metazoa; Chordata; Mammalia; Primates; Hylobatidae. The record is from RefSeq and is a predicted model, not a curated record. The transcript is spliced from 3 exons.
CACGUUUCCGGGAGCCCGGCGGACUGUGAGUCUGCAGAUGCCAACCGGCGCACAGCGGGUAUACUGGUUCUGCAACCUUGGGGUGUUCCGCCGAACGCCUGCCUAACAUGGGAGCGCCUGCCUAACCCUCCUGACUGGAGGGUCAGCGGCGGGGAGUCCUGGCCUUCAGUCGGCCGUCGUCGCGGCUGAAACUGGGGCCCGGGCUGCGUCCAGACCCUUCCCCGUCGGUCCACAGGUCUCAUGGGCGCCCGGACUGGGGCUGAUGUAGUUUCCCGACCUCUGACACGUAGGAUCUGGAGAUUAAAGGAAUGAAAACGGGGACUUUUCAGCCCACUCAGGCCUGAGCCUGGGAUCCUGCGGUGCUUCCCAGGCGCUACGCCUGAGGUUUCUUCUUCCUGGUCGACCCUCCGCGAAUCCUGGCCUCCGGAUACCAUCCCGUCGACCCCGUGGGGAGGACUGGCCUUAGCCCAGAGUUCGAUGUGCUGCCACAAAAGGCUCCUCCUUCGCGAAGCGUCAAGGACUCAUCUCCAGGCAACGAUGGAGGUCUCUGUGACGUGAGCAUCUGCUCACGAUUCGCGCAUGCUCUUUGGCCCGCCAAAAGGAGCCAAUCAGAGGUCACGCCUUCC